GAUGAACGCUGGCGGCGUGCCUAAUACAUGCAAGUCGAGCGAACGGACGAGAAGCUUGCUUUUCUGAUGUUAGCGGCGGACGGGUGAGUAACACGUGGAUAACCUACCUAUAAGACUGGGAUAGCUUCGGGAAACCGGAGCUAAUACCGGAUAAUAUUUUGAACCGCAUGGUUCAAAAGUGAAAGACGGUCUUGCUGUCACUUAUAGACGGAUCCGCGCUGCAUUAGCUAGUUGGUAAGGUAACGGCUUACCAAGGCAACGAUGCAUAGCCGACCUGAGAGGGUCAUCGGCCACACUGGAACUGAGACACGGUCCAGACUCCUACGGGAGGCAGCAGUAGGGAAUCUUCCGCAAUGGGCGAAAGCCUGACGGAGCAACGCCGCGUGAGUGAUGAAGGUCUUCGGAUCGUAAAACUCUGUUAUUAGGGAAGAACAUAUGUGUAAGUAACUGUGCACAUCUUGACGGUACCUAAUCAGAAAGCCACGGCUAACUACGUG
Molecule: ribosomal RNA, 497 nt
Filed under: uncultured bacterium
Lineage: Bacteria
Description: partial 16S ribosomal RNA
Rfam family: Bacterial small subunit ribosomal RNA
Source: RNAcentral